GAAAUGCGAUAAGUAGUGUGAAUUGCAGAAUUCAGUGAAUCAUCGAAUCUUUGAACGCACAUUGCGCCCUUUGGUAUUCCUUAGGGCAUGCCUGUUCGAGCGUCAUCUAAACCUUCAAGCCCUGCUUGGUGUUGGGUGCCUGUCCCGCCUCCGCGCGCGGACUCACCUCAAAUCCAUUGGCGGCCCCCGCGUCGGCCACGAGCGCAGCAGAAACGCGAACUCGUGAGCCCGUCCGGGCGGCUCCCAGAAGCUACACCCACCCAGUUUGACCUCGGAUCAGGUAGGGAUACCCGCUGAACUUACGC
RNAcentral lists this unclassified non-coding RNA (305 nucleotides) under plant metagenome. RNAcentral's name for it is "partial contains 5.8S ribosomal RNA, internal transcribed spacer 2, and large subunit ribosomal RNA". The stretch from base 1 to 105 matches the Rfam family "5.8S ribosomal RNA", at positions 50 to 154 of the family's 154-position model. The record is from RNAcentral.